CCAGACUCCUACGGGAGGCAGCAGUGAGGAAUAUUGGUCAAUGGUCGGGAGACUGAACCAGCCAAGCCGCGUGAGGGAGGAAGGUACAGAGUAUCGUAAACCUCUUUUGUCAGGGAGCAACGCCGGCUACGUGUAGCCGGACUGAGAGUACCUGAAGAAAAAGCAUCGGCUAACUCCGUGCCAGCAGCCGCGGUAAUACGGAGGAUGCGAGCGUUAUCCGGAUUUAUUGGGUUUAAAGGGUGCGUAGGCGGAAUGCCAAGUCAGCGGUAAAAAUUCGGGGCUCAACCCCGUCCGGCCGUUGAAACUGGGGGCCUUGAGUGGGCGAGAAGAAGGCGGAAUGCGUGGUGUAGCGGUGAAAUGCAUAGAUAUCACGCAGAACCCCGAUUGCGAAGGCAGCCUUCCGGCGCCCUACUGACGCUGAGGCACGAAAGUGCGGGGAUCGAACAGGAUUAGAUACCCCCGUAC
Molecule: ribosomal RNA, 465 nt
Filed under: uncultured bacterium
Lineage: Bacteria
Description: bacterial SSU rRNA
Rfam family: Bacterial small subunit ribosomal RNA
Source: RNAcentral